CAAAGGUACGAAUCGCGCCACACAACUACGAAUCACAUUUUCUUUCAAUUACUCACUGAUUUCUUCAUGUAUUUGACACAACGGUUCAAUUUCACAGUGAAAUCGAGCACCGAAGUCGAACGGCUUCAAUCACUGAAGUCGAAUUAAGCAAAAUCAGUUUCAAAAAUCUUCAAAAGGUACAUUCCUAUGCUUUUUUAGUGAUUUAAGUUAAUAAACAAGUGAAUAAAACUUUCGUAGUGAUUGCAUGUCAGUAUAAUGAUGAUUCUAGGGUUUAUUUUUGAUUUUUGACAAAAAAACUAAUUGUUCAUCUUUAUGUUUCUCUAUAACAGCAAGUAGAUCUUAUUUAUUUGAUUGUGAAAGCAUAAUUUAAUGGCUAGAACUAGAGGACGUAUGUUCAUUUUUGUUUGCGAGGAGAUUUUGAAAAUUUCUUAUGACUGCAUACUUUUUUUAUGAUUUGACUGUUAUUGAAUAUCACACUGCUAAUGAUUGUAUUUUUUAGCACAUUAUGUGUUAGUGAUUGUAUUUAUCAUAAAAUUUUCUGUAAUUGCAUACUUGUUUUUUAUGAUUGUAAGUUUCGGCACAUUAUGUGUUAAUCACUGUCUUCUGACUCAAUUUAUGUUAGUAAUUAUUUGUUUAUAUUUUAGUGAUUGUCAUGCUGAUUGUGAU
RNAcentral lists this long non-coding RNA (666 nucleotides) under Daucus carota (carrot). RNAcentral's name for it is "long non-coding RNA (DCAR_LNC000256)". Lineage: Eukaryota; Viridiplantae; Streptophyta; Magnoliopsida; Apiales; Apiaceae. The record is from RNAcentral.